This 492-nucleotide ribosomal RNA is filed under the name uncultured bacterium. RNAcentral describes it as "partial 16S ribosomal RNA". It matches the Rfam family "Bacterial small subunit ribosomal RNA", at positions 29 to 507 of the family's 1533-position model. The record is from RNAcentral.
AGUGAACGCUGGCGGUAGGCCUAACACAUGCAAGUCGAACGGCAGCACAGUAAGAGCUUGCUCUUACGGGUGGCGAGUGGCGGACGGGUGUGGAAUACAUCGGAAUCUACUUUUUCGUGGGGGAUAACGUAGGGAAACUUACGCUAAUACCGCAUACUACCUACGGGUGAAAGCAGGUGAUCUUCGGACCUUGCCCGAUUGAAUGAGCCGGUGUCGGAUUAGCUAGUUGGCGGGGUAAAGGCCCACCAAGGCGACGAUCCGUAGCUGGUCGGAGAGGAUGAUCAGCAAGACAGGAACUGAGAAAGAGUGCAGAAGACUACGGGAGGCAGCAAUGGGGAAUAUUGGAAAAUGGGCGGAAGUCUGAUCCAGCAAUACCGCGUGGGUGAAGAAGGACUUCGGGUUGUAAAGCACUUUUGUUGAGAAAGAAAAGCAGCAGGAUAAUACCCCGCUGUUCUGACGGUACCCAAAGAAUAAGCACCGGCUAACUUCGUG